UUAGAAAGAAAAUUUAAAAGACACAAAGCAGAAUUGAUGCUGUUUCAGUUACACAUCAUUAUCAAAACAAUCAGUGCAGCUUUACUAUAGGCAUAAAUCCAAAAGUAAUCAGCUAGGAGCGUUACUCAAUAAUUUUGGCAAGCGAAAGGGUUUCUGCAAACCCCCAACCAGUAUAAGAAGCAGGCAUAUGCAACACAAAGGAGAGAUAUCACAAACAUGCACCUACUAGUCACAGAUACAUCAUCAUAAAAAUCAAGAGAGAACAUUCCAGAGAGAAAGAGAGCAUACUUUGCGACAGAAAUCAGAGAGAGAGCAGUCAUAAAAAGGCAGAAAUAAUCAGGGCAUAUAUUCAUAUCAUAUAAACAGAGAGCAAUUCCUAUCCAUACACAUAACACAUCAGAGAAUACGCUACACAUUAAGGCGGGCAGAAAUCAUACAACAUGUGCAUCACGUAAGUCCAGGCACAGGUAGACACGGAUACAGCACCAUAAAAACCAGAAAGAGACUCAGUAAGAAGUCACAGAAGAGAGAUAGAGUUAUAUUUCACAGGGCAUAUACUCAGGUAAGCAUUCAAACCAUAAAAAUGUGUUUCAUGUGCAUAUCUUGCUUUAUGUAGCUUAUGCAUUAAACGUAUAGGAAUAACUCAUAAGUUGUUCUAAUCGGUCACAUAAACACAUACACGUAUAAUAAACUAAAAUAUAAAAAACGGGUAAGGAUUCAUUGUAAAUAAAGGAGAAUGAUUACCUCUCCUCUGAUCUGUUGCGAGUGAUCGCUAAGGGGAGAUGCCUCGACUUAGUCGACAUGGCGUAGGUCUUUGGUAUGCCUUAAUCGGUUCUGGCUCAACCAUUAAUGACCCCAGAUCGUCACUCUGUAAAGGCCAAUAGAAAGUGCAUGAGUUCAUAAAAAUAGGAACCGAGAAUCAAUAGAAAGUAGGAAAUUGACAAAAAAAUAUAAUAAAGCAAUGAUUACCCGAUUCGGAACCGCCCUAACCCAUCGGAGGGAGGCUGAGCCGAUGUGAACCACCCGAUUCAAAUUCGAGGUGGUGGUUUUGAGACCACAUCUUAAGCCGAGAAAGCCUUGGAGGAUUGACAUUAUUGUCUUCCUCCAUCAAUUUGAAGUUGGCAUUGAAAAGGAUAAAAACGAAGUUGGGGGAUUUCAAUUCCCCUUGCUGCGAGAGAGAUGGAAAAGAAGAACUCGCGAAGAAGCAUCAUCGCGCUACCACUGGUUCCGUCUCGCCUCCACUGGGAACCACCGAGAGAUUCGUAGAACGAAACAGAAGCUCGGAGCGAAGCCACCGGCAAGGCACAACCCGUCACCACCACCGGAGAUGGAGCUAGAAAGAAGAAGGAGUUGGGGAUUAGGGAUUUCAAUUUUUCCCUUCCCAACUUGUUCUGCGUGAAAUGGGCAAAGGGGUUAACACCCCUCAAUUGCCUCUUUUUGGUUUUACACGUGAUUCUUCCUUUUUUAGUUUUACUUAUUUAUUUUUUGUUUUAUUAGUUUUAUUAUUUCUUUUGUUUAUUAUUAUUGUUUGGGUUGUUUCUUUUCAAGUCAUUUACAUCAUGUAUCCAAUAAUCACAUCAUUAUGCAACAAUGCACACUAAUUUGUUUUGUGUUAGAUUGUUUUAAUUGAUUUAGUUAUAAAAAUAUAAGUACUUAAAAUAUAUUCUUUAGCAAUAAUGUGAUCAAACUUCCGCUCUUCAAUUAUUAUCAAAUUAAUUAUGGAAUUUUUAUAGUAAGGUUAUGGUUUGAGUUGUCUCUAACUUCUCCGAAAAUAAGAAGAAGGUCUACAACCAACACCGUCUCUAAACUAUUAAUUCUAUACAUAUAAUUAUUAAACUAUUUUAUCACCCAAAUUCUAUAUGUACGAAUAACUAGAAACUAUAUUAUCAAAUUAACCAUGGAAUUUUUAUAGUAAGGUUAUGGUUCGAGUUGUCUCUAACUUCUCCGAAAAUGAGAAGAAGGUCUACAACCAACACCGUCUCUAAACUAUUAAUUCUAUAUAUAUAAUUAAUAAACUAUUUUAUCACCCAAAUUCUAUAUGUACGAAUAAUUAGAAACUAUUACAAAAUAAAUUUCAUGAGUUUUUAUAGUGAGGUCACGAUUCGAGUCGUCUCUAACUCCCCUGAGAAUGGGAAGAAGGUUUACGACCAAUACCGUCUCUAAAACUAUUAGUCUCAUUGAAUCGAAACAAUUGCAUAUUUUUGAACAAAAUUCAAAUUAACCAAUUCAAUAAACUAAUACUUCUAAAACCUACCAAUAAUUUCUAAAUCACUAACCAUUAACCAAAGUGGCUAAACAAUUUUCAAAAUAGAACUAUGUAAGCCUUGAUCCCCUUAAUAGGGGUACAUAGGACCAAAGUCAAUAUUGUCAGGCUCAAUAAUAAAAAUAAAUAAUUUUAAAUGAAUAAUUGUUAAGGGUAUAAAAGUCCAAGAUAUAAGUGAGGGUACCGUUUUAAUACGGGCGGACGGGGUGCUAGUACCUUCCCCGAUCCGUAAUCGACUCCCGCGCUCAGAAUCUCUGUCUAAAGACCAAAUUAUCCUAAUUGGGCUUACUAUAGAGUUUUCUACGUUUUCACCGCAAAAAACGUAGUGGCGACUCCAAAUCAAUUGGGAGAGGUAGAAAUCGAAUUCACCUCCUCCCACGUCGUAGGGCCGGUCUUCCAACCGAAAAUCGGGUCGCGACACUUGCAAGACCAAGAGACUAAAGCAUUGCCUAAAAUGUGACAAGUACCACUUGUACUUUUCCUUUCAGAUUUACAUCCGGCAAAAUCUGAAUCCGAAUAUCCAACCAAUUCACAUAUACUUCCUUUUGGAUACCACAGUCCAACUUCAGUUGUACCUUUAAGAUAUUUCAUAAUUNNNNNNNNNNNNNNNNNNNNNNNNNNNNNNNNNNNNNNNNNNNNNNNNNNNNNNNNNNNNNNNNNNNNNNNNNNNNNNNNNNNNNNNNNNNNNNNNNNNNUUUCUAUCAGGAAAGUUGUUAGACGAUCAUACCACACUCGUGGUACUUGCUUUAAACCAUAGAGGGCUUUCUUUAAUUUGAAGACAUGAGAAGGAUAUUUGUAGUCUUCAAAGCCAGGAGGUUGUUCUACAAACACUUCUUCUUGAAAGUAGCCAUUGAGAAAAGCACUCUUGACAUCCAUUUGAUAUAACUAAAAAUUAAGAGAACAAGUAUAUGCAAGUAAUAGCCUAAUAGCUUCAAGUCUAGCAACUAGAGCAAAGGUUUCAUCAAAGUCAAUACCNNNNNNNNNNNNNNNNNNNNNNNNNNNNNNNNNNNNNNNNNNNNNNNNNNNNNNNNNNNNNNNNNNNNNNNNNNNNNNNNNNNNNNNNNNNNNNNNNNNNAGGAACAAGUUCCCAAACUUCAUUCCUCUCAAACUGGUUUAAUUCUCCUUGCAUAGAAAGAAUCCAGUGUUGAUCCUCGAUUGCAUCAUCAAUCUUGGAGGGUUCUAUCUGAGAGACGAAGGCCAUGUUUAGACAAGCAUCAAACAUUCUACGAGUAGUUAUACUUUUACUUAUAUCACUGAUGAUAUUGACAAUAGGAUGAUUUCGAUGAGUUCUCCAUUCUUUUGGUAGAUCUGAGUGAAUAUGCUCUUCUUGAGAAGAUAGAUUAUCACCUAUUCUCAAAUCUUCAGGUUCAGUUGUAACAUCAACAUUAGAAUUUUAUUUAGCAGAUGAACUUGGCAAGUCCUCUUUAUCACAGGAUAUCACUUCUUUUAAUACAUGAUUGGUUUCAUAAAAAGUUACAUGAACACAUUCUUCCAUGGCUAGAGUUCUUUUAUUAAAGACUCUAUAAGCUUUACUCGUGAGAGAAUAGCCAAGGAAAAUUCCUUCAUCAGCUUUUGCAUCAAACUUGCCCAAGUUAUCCUUACCAUUGUUCAGAACAAAACAUUUACAACCAAAAACAUGGAUGAGAAAUGUUAUGUUUUCUACCUUUGAAGAGUUCAUAGGGGGUUUUCUUAAGAAUAGGUCUUAUAAGAACUCGAUUCGAAACAUAACAAGCAGUGCUAACUGCAUCAGCCCAAAAGUAUUUUGGGAGGUUAGUUUCAUUUAACAUUGAUCAGGCCAGUUCUUCUAAGGACCGAUUCUUUCUCUCUACAACAUCAUUUUGUUGAGGUGUUCUAAAAGCAUAAAAAUUAUGGUUGAUCCCAAGAUCAUCACAGAAUUCCUCAAAAGAGGAGUUUUGAAAUUCUCCCCCAUGAUCACUUCGUAUAACAGCGAUUUUUAGAUAUUUUUCAUUCUGAACUCUUUUUGCAUAAAUGCUAAAGGCUUUGAAUGCCUCAUUCUUAUGUACUAAGAAUGGAGACCAAGUAUAUCUAGAAAAAUCGUCCAUUAUAACAAGAGCAUAAUAAUUUCUACCAAAACGUUUUGUCCUUGAGGGACCAAAUAAAUCCAUAUGAAGUAAUUGUAAUGGUCUAUCGGAAGAAACCAUGUGCUUUGGUUUGAAAGAGGUUUUUGUUUGUUUACCCAUUUGACAAGCACUANNNNNNNNNNNNNNNNNNNNNNNNNNNNNNNNNNNNNNNNNNNNNNNNNNNNNNNNNNNNNNNNNNNNNNNNNNNNNNNNNNNNNNNNNNNNNNNNNNNNUGUCAAUCAUAUAUAUAUUAUUUAUUCUCUUAUUAUUAAGUUUAGAAUUAUCCUUACUUUCAAUGAUGCAUUUAUCUAGAUAGAAUGCCACAUGAAAUCCUUUGUCGCAUAAUUGACUUAUGCUUAGAAGGUUGUGUUUGAGUCCUUCAACAUAUAGUGCGCCUUCUAUAGUUGUUGAUGGUGGCUUUGCAAUUCUACCAACUCCAAGAAUUCUUCCCUUGUUGUUGUCACCAUAUGUGACAUAUCCUUUGUNNNNNNNNNNNNNNNNNNNNNNNNNNNNNNNNNNNNNNNNNNNNNNNNNNNNNNNNNNNNNNNNNNNNNNNNNNNNNNNNNNNNNNNNNNNNNNNNNNNNAAUAGCCAAGACCUCUUCGGUCUGUUGAGUGUCUUUGAUCAUUGAUAAUCUUUUCUAAGAUUUUACCACUCUUGUUUAGUUUAUUAAGUUCAAGGCUUAAUGUUAAUACUUUAUUUUCAAGAGUGACGAAGUUUUGACAAGAGGAUGAAGAAGAUUGUUUCUAAAUGCAUCUAUUUCAGAUUUUUGUUUUAGAAACAUUUUUGAUAAUUUAAUAUAUUCAUCAUGUAAAUCAUUAAAUCCAGAUUGAAGUUCGGAAGAAGAAAAUAGAUUAGAGUCAUUUACCUCUUCAUCAUCAGAAUGAUGAGAUACCAUAAGUGAUAGAUGUGCUUGUUCUUCGUUUUCUAUUUCAGAUGCAAAACUGGUAUCAUUGUCUUCCCAAGCAAUGUAUGCUCUUCAUCCAGUCUUUAUAUCAUUCUUUCCUUUGAAGGAACCCUUUUUCAAAUUAGGACAAUCAAUCCAUGUGGCCCGAUUUGCCACAUUCAAAACAUGUAAAUUUUUGACUUGAGGUGGAGGCAUCAUUGCUUUUGGUGAGUUUCCUUGUUUGGCCACUUUUUGCGCCUUUGUUCCUUUUUAGGAACUUGCUGAAUUUCUUUACGAAGAGACUUAUAUAUUCCGUAUCAUCUUUUUCUGAUUCAUCUCCAAAUGAGUCAUAUCUAUAAACUUUUGCUUUUAGAGAAAUAUUUUUCUUCUUCUUUUCUUGCUCCUCGUGUUGAUCAAUUUGGCUAAGUUCUAAUUCGUGUUCCUGCAAUUUACCUAACAAAGAAACCAAAGACAUUUUGGAUAAACUUUUAUUUUCAGAAAUUGCGGUUACCUUUGGUUGCCAUAUUCUGGUGAGUGAUCUAAGAACUUUUAAGUUUAAGUCACUAUUUGAUAGAAUUUUGCCAAGUGCAAGAAGGUGAUUGGUAAGAUGAGUAAAUCUUUUUUGUAAAUCAAGAAUUUUCUCUUCAGUCUUCAUGCGAAACAUUUCGUAUUUCUGAGAAAGAGUGUUGAGUCUUGACCUUUUUACUUCCUUUGUUCCUUCGUGUGUGGUCUCUAGAGUAUCCCACAUUUCUUUUGCAGAAUUACAAUUUGAUACUCUAAAGAAUUCAUCAAUACCAAGAGCGGAGGUGAGAAUGUUCUUUGCCUUUAAAUCAUAUUGUACCUUCUUUUUGUCUUCAUCGUUUCAUGAUGAUUUUGACUUUAUUUCCCUUAUAUUGUUGAUAACAGUAAAGGAUAUAUAUGGUCCUUCUUCAAUGGCGUUCCAUAUGUCUAAGUCUUGAGAUUCAAUAAAGAUCCUCUUUCUAAUUUUCCAGAAAUCAUAACAUUCUCCAACAAAUCUUGGAGGACGGUUGAUGUUGGAACCUUCUCCGAGGAAUGAUCUUGAGGCCAUCUUGAUGUAGGAUCAGAUUUAAGAGUAUCUUACUCAAAUACAGCUCUGUACCAAUUGUAAGAAUGAGAUUGCAACUAAGAGGGGAUGAAUUAGUUGACUUAAAAUUAUGGUAACUUUUUUUGCAAAACGUAAGAGUUAAUGUGUAGCGGAUAAUAUUGCAGAAAAUAAACAAGAAUAAAUAAAAGUGGUAAGGAAGAAUAGAGUACACAAGGAUUUUAUACUCGUUCACCUUCUUGUCCACCGAAGGCUACAUCCAGUACUCUUGCAGCACAAGAGAUUUUCCACUAAAUAUUAUGAGUCGUAAUUACAAUAUCUCACCCCGAGAUCUCUAAGUAUCUUACACAUUCACUAAUAUUUAUACCCUUGGAAAACACCUUUCCAAGUAACUUUAUCCCCUUUCUAUUCACACCCUGUGAAAGAAAGUUUAUUGCAAUGAAUGAAGAAUUUGAAUGAUGGCUUUGGAUUGCCUUUACAAGUAUGAAAUAUUAUAACACUUGCAAUAUAAUCAACUCUUUUGUAUACUUAGUAAUAAUAUUCAAUAGAUUUGUAAAACUUUGAAACAAUUACUUCUAAUUAAGAACAAUUACUUCUAAUAGAUUUGUAAAACUUUGAAACAAUUACUUCUCUUUGGAAAGUUUAAGAACUUAGUGCAAAAGUGUAGAAAAGUAGUGAGAGAAUUUUUCAGAAUCGUAUGAGAGUUGUAUAAAAGUUGUGUCGCGUGUUGUGAGAGUUUAAAGUUUUUAUAUAGACUUUCCAAACACCCAUGGUGUCUUUCUGAAAGUGUAGGAGUUGUUUGAAGUGAAGAGAUUUCAUUUGGAGUGAAGACAUUUCGUUUUGAAAUCUGAAAUCUCAUGCAACAGUCUUCACUAAUCGAUUACUGAUAGUGGGUAAUCGAUUACCCAAACUCUCUAUCCACUGUUUAUUUAAAAAUGAAUUAGAGUAAUCGAUUACACCAUUUGGGUAAUCGGUUACUCAACUUUUGUAAAACUGGUAAUCUGUUACUCAAAGACAGUAAUGGAUUACUCUGAACAGUUUAAAGUUGGAUAACUCUUUUUCUCUCAUAUGUAACUUGUUACUUAAAUGAAGUAACUCGUUACACAUCAUUUUGAAAAAUGUUUUAAGUAUUUUUUAAAGUGUUUCAUUUUUCUUAAAAAAUAGUUUGAGCAUUACUACUUUGUAUAUUAAAGAGUUUUAGGAUAGAAAUAUCUAUAGAGACUUAAUCUAAUUUUCUUGAAGCUUUGAUCUUCUUUGUCUUUGUAAGUAUUCUUCCUUUUUCUUCUUUUUGGUGAUAUUUGUGUCUUCAUCAAAACCUUACUAAACUAAGGUCAGGAACAAAGAUCUUCUUCACAACAACUUCUCAAAUCACAGCAAAAGAAAGACAUGAUACCCUUCAAUUUCCGAAUCAAUUUUUUAAAUUAACUAUAUAAUUAAAAAAUAAUUUUUGAAUUAAUUAAAUAUUCCUCAAUUCAAUAAGAGAAUAAAAAGAAAUAGUAAUAUUCAGUGGUUGGUUAAGAAAAAAUAUUUUUUUUAAAAUAACUAAUUUGAAGGGUGUGAGAAAGAGAUUAAGACAAUAGAUGUAAAUAUUGGCUGUGAAUUAUCACAUCUUCUCGAGAGAUAGUAAACACUCUUAAUAACCUUGAUCGCUUCUCAAUUUAAUUUGAGAAGAAAAAUAUGACAAGAGUCACAGUCUCCUUCUUAAACUAUAUUAAUUUUAUUUGAAAAACUUUUGGCUUUUAAUAAUUUUUUAUCGUGAUUUCUAUUUUGAUGCACUUUCGUGCUAUAGGUAGGAGUAUAUUUUUCAAGUAUUAAUUAAAUGAUUUUAAAAACUGUUGAAUUAAUUAAAACAAAAUCGAUCAUAACUAAAAUAUUUUAAACUUAAAAAAUAUCAAUCUAAUUGUGAGAAAGGAAAUAAUUGAUUUCUAGACAUCAAAACAAUUAAAAAUUCAUGUGUUUUUGUAAUAAAAAUAUUUUAUUAAUUUUAUGAAUCUAUAAAGAAUACUUCCAAAACCGAUUACUGUGCAAGAAUAUUUCACUUAACCUUAUAAAACCAUAAAAAUUAUAAGAAUAUCCCUUUUUUUUUGGGACAAAAACACAUUAAUAACAUUGUUAAAUCAUAAAAUUACUAUAAUGCCCAUAUAUGGGUAAAAAUAUUUUUUUACUAUAUAAAACUACCAAAAUUACUAAAAUGCCCAUUUUGGAAAAAAAAAGCAUUCAUAAUUUUAGAGUAGAUACUGAUUUUAAUCCUUCAUGUUUUUCAAUUUUACUAGUUUGUUUCUCAAAAAUUGAAAACCUCAAGAAAGUCCCCAAUAAUUUUAAAUGUGUGUCAAAGUAGUCUUUUUAGCAUGUAAUUCAACAUUUGACGCAGGCUUAAAAUUUUUAGAGAUCAUUUUGAGUUUUCAAUUUUUAGAAACCAUUUUGGUUUCUCAAUCUUUGAGGGACCAAAUUGGUAAUGUCAAAAAACUUCAAGGACAGAAAUAGGUAUAUUUUACUCAUAAUUUUAUAAAAAUGUAAAAACUUGGUAAAGUAAUUAUUUGACUCUAUAAAACCACAAAAUUUACUAAAAUUUCCCAUUUUCUCUUAUUUUUUUAGUAUGUAAAAUGCAUUAGACGUACAUGUACAGUGUUGGAAUGUUAUGCAUGAACGAAUCUUUGAAGAGCAUUCUGCAUUCUAACUCUGAUUUUUUUUGUUGGUCCUGCAAUUUCAUGACAUAGUUCCAAGAAAACACUCGCCUAUUACGUCUGUAAAGUUUGUAGCAUGUUAUCAGAAAUUAAAUCAGGGAUUUUGUUGCUUAAUUUUGUAAUUGGGCUGCUAUUGUGGAUUGAAUUCAAAAGAACUUAAUAAUAUGACAACAAAUCAAUUGCUUUAUACUCCAAUAACAAUUGGAAAUCCGCCAAAUCUUUCCGUAGCACAUUGCUUACAUGAGUGUCACAGAUUUCACAAUGUAUUGGUUUAGUGAAAAUUUGUUAUUAAAUUGAUUUAAUUUUAUAUUGUAUGUUUAGAAUAUGCAUGCAUACUUUUAUAUUUGGAUACUAUUUUGAUUAAAAAUAAAGCUUACUAUUGAGUUUAUUACACUUCUUUUUUAAAGUGCAAUAUGUCAAGAGAGCACUUGGCAUGCCUAUGUUUUGAUGAAGACAACUCAACAAAUCAACAUGCCAAAGAUUCAAGAGCUUCAUGUCUAGACUAGAGUCUUAGAUGUGUCUUAGUUAUUGAGUUUAGGUUAGGUAAACCUAGAUGCAAAUCUCACAAAGUCUAAAAACUAUCAUAUCAUUUACAUGAGACAUGCCAUCUAGUUUAUUAUAUGUNNNNNNNNNNNNNNNNNNNNNNNNNNNNNNNNNNNNNNNNNNNNNNNNNNNNNNNNNNNNNNNNNNNNNNNNNNNNNNNNNNNNNNNNNNNNNNNNNNNNAAACAUGUAUAGUUGAUAAGCAUAACAUAUAGGUAGUUUACCAAUUAACAUCUUAACUGAAAAUAUGAUAGUUAAUCGAUUAAGUGAAGCUUUAAUCGGAUAACGUGAAAACAAUUUUUAAUAUUUCAACAGAUAACUGAAAAACAGAAUUCAGUUACUCUCUAACAGCCCGUUAAUAGAUUAAUAGGCAACAUAAUCGAUUAACUGGAUGCAAAACAGUUUUUCUGUAUAAACUGUGUUUUUACACCAUGCUUCAUACAUUCAUUUUAGAAUUGCUAAGUUGCAUAUUUUCGUAUUCUUUGUAUAUCAUAUAGACAAAUAGAAUUGCAUGUGAGAUUAGAGUGAGAUAGUAUUAUGCUUAGGGCUUAACAUGUCAUCCAUUGCAUAUUAUAAAAUAUGUUCAUCAUUCUAUCUUGUUCUUGCAUGAUUCUUUCAUUAUUGUUUAGAGAUUUCUUAAGGGUAGAAAUUAAAUGUUCUUCAUGAUUCUGAUCUUAUACAUAUUCUUAGUAAUUGUGAGAUUUGUAUAGGGUUUAUAGCUUGUUCUUUCUUGUAAUAUUUGAGCUAUUUUGAGCUUCACAUUACUCUAUUUUUUGUGUUGUUUUUGUAACAAGGAAAGUCGUCUCUUGGUGUCGUACCAGCAACUAGAUCAGAGAGUCUUCAUCAAGACUUGGAGAUCUUGAGUUUAGAACAUACUCUUGGUUGGGGCUGGAUUGUAGGAAAGGUUUUCCUAGGCGAUUGGGUAAGGUCAAACCAAUGUAGAGGUUCUGGGAAUUCAAGAAGGUAGCAUUCAAGGUUUUGUAAUUAGAAGUGUGUAUGUAAGAUACAUUGGCUUCAAUUUUAGUGAAGAAAAUAUUACAUAUCAGAGGGGAGGA
This 10572-nucleotide long non-coding RNA is filed under the name Lupinus angustifolius (narrow-leaved blue lupine). Its description in RNAcentral is "long non-coding RNA (LANG_LNC003780)". Lineage: Eukaryota; Viridiplantae; Streptophyta; Magnoliopsida; Fabales; Fabaceae. The record is from RNAcentral.